RNAcentral lists this long non-coding RNA (1101 nucleotides) under Androctonus crassicauda. Lineage: Eukaryota; Metazoa; Arthropoda; Arachnida; Scorpiones; Buthidae. The record is from RNAcentral.
ACUUGAAGAGUGAAUUAGCUGUAAAAGUAAUAUAUUUGUUUGUUUCCACCACUAGAGAAGAGAGAACAAAAUAAAGAGAAUUAUUUGUAUGCAAUCUUUUGUUAAUUUUGCCAUCAUUAAACUGGACAAAUAUGAAAAUUCCAGAUUAGAUAGAAACUGAAUGAUAUCUGACUAUUCCUGUGGUUGUAAUAACUGAGACAAGAUUAAGAGAAUGAUAAAGAUCAACAAUUAAAAAAUGUAUUUGUUGCAGUUAAAUAUCCAUAAAAAAUUCCUGUAUGAACACAAAAUUAUGGUUUAUUAUUAUUUAUUCUAUUCAAGCUUAUUUGUCUGAAAAUAUUAUUUCUGUUUUUAAUCUAUCUCAGGCAUUGCUGCCUUUUCUGAGAAUAAAAGAUUAUAUAAGAUAACUAAAAAAUACCAGAAAAAAAUCUUUAAGCUGAAAAUUCAUUGAUACCAUUUCAAGAGAGCAGUAUAAAGUAAAAAGGAAUAAGUUAAAAUGUAAAAGAAAUAUUGGAUAGCCAAGUGGAACACAAAAGGAAUUAUUGAGCUAAAACAGCUAAAUUCCAAUUAUUCCAACUUUUUAAACUUAUAUUUUGCAAGCUUGCAUGAGAUUUCCUCAAAAAAGUCAAAAUAUCAGAAAUAAUAUACAUGGUGUUUCUAAAAGUUUGGCCAGAUUUGAAUUCCAUAUACUACUCAUCAAAACAAAGCAAAAACUCCAUAUGAAUAUGGAUCCAGAAAUAUUUUCUUUUCAAGAUAACACUGUAUAUAAAUUGGAGUUGAUCUGCACUGAUUCCAUAAAAAUUGGAUAAUUACAACAAUUUCCUGGCUUAUAUAAAUAAUUGUACAGAAGAUUUUUUUACAUAAACUGAAUUUUGUAUAAGUUGGAAAAAACUUUUUAACAAAAAUCUGAAUCAAAGACUCCCAGAACUAAGUGAACUACAAUGAUUACUCUCUGUAAAUUAGAAAGGGAGCAAUCACUGUAGCAAAAACUGAAAGAGAGAAACACCACAUAGAACAGCAUGAUAUUAGAGAGUUUGCGGUGAACAUUUUUCACUUCCCGAUACAGUAUAAAUCUCCUGAUACAGAUUAUAACAUAUGUUUUGC